This 4248-nucleotide long non-coding RNA is filed under the name Mus musculus (house mouse). RNAcentral's name for it is "long non-coding RNA chr8:128461922-128466170". Lineage: Eukaryota; Metazoa; Chordata; Mammalia; Rodentia; Muridae. The record is from RNAcentral.
AAAGACUCCAGGGCUUCUGUAAUGGUCUAUAUUUAUUGUGGCUUUGUGCUAAGUUCUGUUGUAACAGCAGCCAUGUUCCAACCCUUUUCCAUGUAAGUAGAUAUGUUACAGAGCUUUCAUUUGAAAGCAAUAGCAGCAUACAUGUACUCUUUAUAUCUUAAAAAAAAUGAAAACAAUGGGAGUUGGAGAAAUGUUUCAGUGGUUAAGAGCAGCUGCUGUGCUUCCAGAGGACCCAGGUUCAGUUUCCAGCACCCACACGACAGCUCACAACUGUCUGUAACUCCAGUUCCAGGGGAUACUAUGGCCUCUUCCUGCAUCUUUGGGCACUGCAUAAAUGUGGUGUAAUACAUAUGCAAAAGCACAUACAUACAUAAAAUACAAUCUUUUUUUAAAAGAUUGAAGCAUAGAGCCUGUGAUUGAUUCACUAAGAAGGUAAUUAAAAUUAAAAACAACUUCCAAUCUUCAGUGAACCACUGUAUUCUGUCUGUGUUCAUAUUUAGAAUAUUUACUUUCUCAAUACAUUUUAUGCUUUCUUUGCUAAAUUUGAUUAUUUCAAAAAAAAAAAAAAAGGAAAGAGAAAGAGAGAAAGAUAAGAAGAAAACUCACUUUUAAAGGGAAAGCAUCCCCCUGGAACUUUCCCAUCAGCGUGGAGGUGCUGUGUUGAGAAGGUAAUUCAUGAAAAAUAAAUCUGCAGAAAGGUCCAUAUUGGAAAGUAAAACUUUCCUGAUCUGGUGUCAGACCCGAGUUUUAUUUGUUUCCACUGUGGCACAGACCUGUUUAGUGUGUGACAAUCCAAGACUUAGAAAGUUCAAGGUUUUGGAGACAGGAAUUGGGUAGAGGGGCAUUUAGAGGUGGGUCAGGCACUGGAAAGCCAGAUGUAACCUUUUUUUUUUAUUUUUUGAUAAUAGUUAAAUAGCAGAAAGUUCUAGGGAAGUUUACAGCAUUCCUAAUUUAGGAGUCUACACAUAAAUUCAUAGGAACAAGGCCACAUGGGGUCUGGGUGGGAAUUUCUGGUCCAUUUCUCUAACCUGGUCUCAUGUCACUACACUGGAAUUUUAUUUAGAAGCAAGCUUCAUAAAGACUCCAAAUUAGUCUGAACUCUGACUAUCCAGUCUCUUAAGAUUUAUAUUGUGUCCUUUUGGUUAAAUAAAAUAUUUAUUUGAACUCAAAUCAUUCUUUUUAUUUUCAUAAGGAUAUCCCAAGAGGUAAUUCUAGGAAUUUGAACCAAAAGAAAGAAAGUAAUUUAUUAGAUCUUUUUUAAAAAAAUAGUAAAAUGGCCUGUUUACUUAAGCAUUAUCUAAAGUAGUUUGUCCUAUUAUUUUUAAACACAGCUUGUUUUGUUAUUUUAAGUACACAGUUGGGUUUUGUUUUGUUUUCUCUCUAGUGAAAUGGCUCUCAUUUCCCAGAAACUGACCUUGGCAGGUUUUUAAUAGGGCAAAAUGUGACCAUGAUGGCUACACAGUCAGAGAGGUCAUGACUGGCUCAGGACUGUCCACUCAGUGAGUGCCUAACUGCAGGCAAGACCCUUUGCAUUUCAGAUGUAGUUUCUGGUCUGUAAGAUAUAUUGAUGAGCUGUGAUGAGGAUUAAAUGGAAGAAUAUUUAUAACAUAUUUGGCUGGUAAAGUGCUCACUAAAUGCCCCCAAACAAUAAGGCAAGGACAUUAGUCACUAAACAGAAUUUAUGAUAAGCCCCAGGUAGAGCCUGUGUGCGUGUGUGCAUGUAUGUGUGUGUAUACAGGCCGAUAAAAGAGUAGAUUAUCAGUGUCCUAUUGGACUAGACAAGGCAGGAGAGCAGAGCCUGGUCACCAAGCUUUCUCUAUUCGAUAGGCCUGUGGCACCAUAGUGUUCAGUGGUUAUUUCUGAAUGAAGGAGUUCUGCUUCUCAUACCUUGAACUCUCAACCACUCUUUAUGAAGAGACAAGUCCUAACUCAAUCUACCCAUUUAAAGAAACUAGCAAAUUUUUAAAAACUUAGGAUAUAAUUCAUCACUUACUUGGCUUCCAAAAUCUCUAGAGUUUCAGGUUUGAAUCUAAGUUUCACGUUCAGGAAUUCUUUUGAAAUAAAGCCAUCUUGGUGGUCCAGAGAAUAUGAUGGGGUGUUUCACAGAAAGAUACACACUCAGGCAAAAUAUCCUGCUUUACAGGUGAUUGGGGGAAGGAAUGUUUCCCUUGUUUCUCUAAAGCAGCUGCAUCAUUUGGCAAAGGGGUUAGGGAACUGGGAAGACCACACUGGAGGACUUCUACAGGGUUGUGAGACCUCAGCCUAUGCUCUGCUCAGUGGUGUUCUCUUCCCCCAUAGUCAUGCAUGCUCCUGUCAAUCAAAGAUGAGGGCGACCUUUCCAGACACCACAACAUCCUUAGGAAACUCCCCAAGCCCUCAGAGGAGGCCAGGUGAUGCCCACUGGGAACUACUGCCAUAGCUAGCGAUCACUUUCUCACUCUGGAAACUGAUUAACUAGCUGUGCUCAGUUUGUUAUUUUAAGGUCAAGCACAGAGAUCUUACGGUAAAUUCAUACCACUCAUAAUAGCCACACCAAACCCCUCCCCGUAACAUCAUCCACUUGUCUCUUUCAUCCAAAAUUGAUUUUAAAGUUUCAAAAAAAGAAAUAGUGUUGCCAAACAAAAUACAGAAUCCCCAGUUAAGCUUGGUGUGACUUAAAAAUGAUAAUUGUUAGUUUAUGUAUUUCCCAUUGCAGUAUUUUGGAUACACUAAGAAUUAGUCAUUGUGUCUCUGACAUUCCAAUCUAGUUGGAUAUCCCAUUUCUUGUUCUGUUGUUUAUUUGCUUGUUAAAUUUAACAACAUGGGCAAAAGUGGGUCAAGCCUGUCUGCUAAGGAAACCCUGCUGUAAACUAGCAUCUCAUUCAAACCUUGAAUUAAUUGUUAAUGUAAUUUUUCCCUCAUCAUUGUUAAAAGUGAAUUAUGGGCUAAGUUGAGGAAAUAGCUCAAUCAGUAAAGAACUCAUCUUACAAGCAUGGGACCUGAGUUCAAACCCCAGAGCUCACAUAAAAAGGCAUGCAUAGUAGCAUACACUUGUAACCCAGAGCUAGGAUGGUGGAGACAGGAGGCUCUCUGGGACUUGCUGACCAGCCAGUCUAACCUAACUAGUGACUCCCCAGGCCAGUGAGAAGCUGUGUCUCAAAAAACAUCAUAGAAAGUACAAGAUGAUGUCCUUUGUCUCUCAGACACAUGCCCACAAAUGCACAGUAUGAGUCUUGUGGCUUCCAGUCAAGGGCAAGUCAAGGUUCAACAUACUGUUUUUCAGAAGAGGCAUUCGCAGAGAAAUGUUGGAGGCUGGCUCAACACACUGACUUCUGACUGAGAAUGGACCGGCUUUCACCAUGUCUGGGGAAAGAAACAGUUCAGAAUCUCUGUGUAAGAGAAAGAACAUCCAUCUAGCACAGUCUCUGCUCUGCUUGUAGGAUCCAAAUUAGCUGUGUGUUUCUCAGAUGGUAACAUCUGACUCCCUUUGCCAGCCAAGCAUCACCAUUGUAAAGAAGCCGGUUGGAAGUCAGGCAGGUGUGAUCACUGUAGCCAAGAAAUGGGACUUCUGUUUUUAAGAUAAGAGUUUCAUAGUCCUUCAGCAAAUGGCUUUGUUUAAAUCUUUAAAAAUAAUUUCCAUUGAGUUUAUUCUUGGUUUCCAGAUUCCCACCCAGAGCAAAUAGUCAGGCUGGGUUACAGGAAGGCGUCCUGAGAAACGACAGCUGCUUUUGACUGUUGUAAUACAUUGAUUCAUUCAGCAAAUAUUUUUUGAGGUUGACAGUGUGCAAAAACAAGCUCAGCAAGUCUCAGAAAACAGAAAAAUAUGACUUGUUUCAUACCCUCAAAAAAUUAGGAUCCAACUUGGCAAAUGGCUUGGUUGUGAGUAUGCUUGCCCAACAUACAGGAAUCCCUGAGUUCUGCACCCAACACUGCAGAAACCACAUGGCAGUUGGUUCUGCCAUGCAGAAACCACAUGGCAGUGCACACUUGAAACCCCAAUACAUAGGAGGUGGAGGUAGAAGGCUCAGGAAUUCAAGGUCAUUCUCCAAGGUGAACUGAGGGCCAGACCGGAACAAGAGAUCUUGUCAAAAAAAAGGGGGGGGGGGUGUGAAAAAGGCAGGAAGGAAAGAAGAAAGAAAGGGAAGUAGUGAGGGAGAAAGGGAAAGAGAGAGAACAUAAAACUUGAACUAGCAAAAGGCAGUUAUCUAAAAGAGUGGAUACGAUUGCCAAUACAAGAGAAAAUACAGAUCAAGUAUCAUAAGGCAUAUC